RNAcentral lists this ribosomal RNA (549 nucleotides) under uncultured Glomerales. RNAcentral describes it as "SSU rRNA". It matches the Rfam family "Eukaryotic small subunit ribosomal RNA", at positions 548 to 1098 of the family's 1831-position model. The record is from RNAcentral. Lineage: Eukaryota; Fungi; Glomeromycota; Glomeromycetes; Glomerales; Glomeraceae.
UUGGAGGGCAAGUCUGGUGCCAGCAGCCGCGGUAAUUCCAGCUCCAAUAGCGUAUAUUAAAGUUGUUGCAGUUAAAAAGCUCGUAGUUGAAUUUCGGGGUCAGUAGAUUGGUCAUGCCACUGGUAUGUACUGGUCUCACUGAUUCCUCCUUCCUGAUGAGCCGUAAUGCCAUUAAUUUGGUGUUGCGGGGAAUUUGGACUGUUACUUUGAAAAAAUUAGAGUGUUUAAAGCAAGCUAACGCUUGAAUACAUUAGCAUGGAAUAAUGAAAUAGGACGUUCGAUCCUAUUUUGUUAGUUUCUAGGAUUGACGUAAUGAUUAAUAGGGAUAGUUGGGGGCAUUAGUAUUCAAUUGUCAGAGGUGAAAUUCUUGGAUUUAUUGAAGACUAACUACUGCGAAAGCAUUUGCCAAGGAUGUUUUCAUUAAUCAAGAACGAAAGUUAGGGGAUCGAAGACGAUCAGAUACCGUCGUAGUCUUAACCAUAAACUAUGCCGACUAGGGAUCGGAUGAUGUUAAUUUUUUAAUGACUCAUUCGGCGCCUUACGGGAAAC